UCUUAAUCUAUAUAAGUAGUACAACAAUUGAAAACUCAUAAAUAAUGGCGGUCUUAAUUAAUUAGAGAAACUCGCUUAAAAAUCGUAACUACCCGCUCAAUCUCUCCUUUUUUUAAAGUUUAUAUACCGCCGUUUACAAGUUUUUGUCAAAAAACAUAAGUCAAAACUAAAAAUCAUUACAAAAAUCAGGUCAAGGUGUAACAAAUAAAAAGGCUUAAGUAAGUUACACUAAAUAUAAUUUAAGGACUUUAUUCUAAAAAAAUAAAUAAAAAAGAAUUUAUUCGUACAAUUUAAUAAUAAUUUAACUUAGAACAAUUAAACUAAGACGC
RNAcentral lists this ribosomal RNA (329 nucleotides) under Belisana bohorok. RNAcentral describes it as "partial 12S ribosomal RNA". Lineage: Eukaryota; Metazoa; Arthropoda; Arachnida; Araneae; Pholcidae. The record is from RNAcentral.